GCACUGCUGAGGAGUCCAAAAACAGGACGAAACGGCCGUCCAGUGC
Molecule: non-coding RNA, 46 nt
Filed under: Schistosoma haematobium
Lineage: Eukaryota; Metazoa; Platyhelminthes; Trematoda; Strigeidida; Schistosomatidae
Also listed under: 1 other name
Source: RNAcentral